RNAcentral lists this ribosomal RNA (230 nucleotides) under uncultured bacterium. RNAcentral's name for it is "partial 16S ribosomal RNA". It matches the Rfam family "Bacterial small subunit ribosomal RNA", at positions 568 to 791 of the family's 1533-position model. The record is from RNAcentral.
UGACGCAGGCGGUUAUGUAAGUACAGUAUGUGAAAUCCCCCGGGCUCAACCUGGGAACUGCAUUUGUGACUGCAUGGCUAGAGUACGGUAGAGGGGGAGUGGAAUUCCGCGUGUAGCAGUGAAAUGCGUAGAUAUGCGGAGGAACACCGAUGGCGAAGGCAAUCCCCCUGGACCUGUACUGACGCUCAUGCACGAAAGCGUGGGGAGCAAACAGGAUUAGAUACCCCUGU